UACAGAGGCCACAAGCGUUAGUCGGAAUCACUGGGCUUAAAGGGUGCGUAGGCGGCUUGUCAAGUGUCUUGUGAAAUACCUUAGCUCAACUAAGGAACAGCAGGGCAUACUGAUAGGCUCGAGAGAUGUAAGGGUCGCUAGAACAGUAGGUGGAGCGGUGAAAUGCGUAGAUAUCUACUGGAAUGCCGAUGGUGAAGACGAGCGACUGGGCAUUUUCUGACGCUGAGGCACGAAAGCGUGGGGAGCAAACAGC
RNAcentral lists this ribosomal RNA (253 nucleotides) under uncultured bacterium. RNAcentral describes it as "partial 16S ribosomal RNA". It matches the Rfam family "Bacterial small subunit ribosomal RNA", at positions 524 to 776 of the family's 1533-position model. The record is from RNAcentral.